Molecule: ribosomal RNA, 395 nt
Filed under: uncultured bacterium
Lineage: Bacteria
Description: partial 16S ribosomal RNA
Rfam family: Bacterial small subunit ribosomal RNA
Source: RNAcentral
AUACGUAGGGUGCAAGCGUUAAUCGGAAUUACUGGGCGUAAAGCGUGCGCAGGCGGUUCGGAAAGAAGGAUGUGAAAUCCCAGGGCUCAACCUUGGAACUGCAUUCUUAACUACCGAACUAGAGUAUGUCAGAGGGGGGUAGAAUUCCGCGUGUAGCAGUGAAAUGCGUAGAUAUGCGGAGGAAUACCGAUGGCGAAGGCAGCCCCCUGGGAUAAUACUGACGCUCAUGCACGAAAGCGUGGGUAGCAAACAGGAUUAGAUACCCUGGUAGUCCACGCCCUAAACGAUGUCAACUAGCUGUUGGGCCCUUCGGGGCUUAGUAGCGUAGCUAACGCGUGAAGUUGACCGCCUGGGGAGUACGGUCGCAAGAUUAAAACUCAAAUGAAUCGACGGGG